RNAcentral lists this ribosomal RNA (465 nucleotides) under uncultured bacterium. RNAcentral describes it as "partial 16S ribosomal RNA". It matches the Rfam family "Bacterial small subunit ribosomal RNA", at positions 28 to 507 of the family's 1533-position model. The record is from RNAcentral.
GACGAACGCUGGCGGCGUGCUUAACACAUGCAAGUCGAACGGAAAGGCCCCUUUGGGGGUACUCGGGUGGCGAACGGGUGGGUAACAUGUGAGUAACCUGCCCUUGACUUCGGGAUAACUUUAGUAAACUGGGGCUAAUACGGGAUAGGAAUGCUUUCUGCAUUGUGGGGGUUGGAAAGCUUCGGCGGUUUUUGAUGGAGUUGCGGCUUAUCCGCGUGUUGGUGGGGUAGUGGCUUACCAAGGCUUUGACGGGAAGCCGGGCUGAGAGGGCGACCGGCCACAGUGGGACUGGGAUACGGCCCAGACUCCUACGGGAGGCAGCAGUGGGGAAUAUUGCACAAGGGGCGGAGGCGUGAUGCAGCAACACCGCGUGCGGGAUGACGGCCUUCGGGUUGUAAACCGAUUUCAGCAGGGGCGGAGCUUGUGGUGACGGUACCUGCAGAAGAAGCACCGGCUAACUACGUG